This 394-nucleotide ribosomal RNA is filed under the name Sergestidae sp. 2 KYKC-2019. RNAcentral's name for it is "partial small subunit ribosomal RNA". Lineage: Eukaryota; Metazoa; Arthropoda; Malacostraca; Decapoda; Sergestidae. The record is from RNAcentral.
UUGAUUAGAUACCCUGUUAUUUUUUAUUUAAAAUUAUAGUACCUGAGUAGUAACUAGUUAUGUUCUUGAAACUUAAAGAAUUUGGCGGUAGAUUAGUCUUUUUAGAGGAACUUGUUCUGUAAACGAUAACCCCCGAAAUAUCUUACCUUUUCUUGUUUAAUCAGUUUGUAUACCGUCAUUAUUAGAUAACAUUAAAAAAUUAGUUAUUGAAAGAGUAUCGUGUAUUAAUAUAUUAGAUCAAGGUGCAGCUUAUGAAAAGGAAGAAAUGAGUUACAUUAAAAUUAGUUUAAAUGAAUAAAAAAUAGAAUGUUUUUUUGAAGGUGGAUUUAACAGUAAUGUUGAAAUAAUAAGUCAUCAUGAAUUUAGCUCUAAUCUAUGCACACAUCGCCCGUCG